UACGUAGGGGGCAAGCGUUGUCCGGAAUCAUUGGGCGUAAAGAGCGUGUAGGCGGCUCGGUAAGUCCGCUCUGAAAGCCCGGGGCUCAACCCCGGGAGGCGGGCGGAUACUGUCGGGCUAGAGUCCGGAAGAGGCGAGUGGAAUUCCUGGUGUAGCGGUGAAAUGCGCAGAUAUCAGGAGGAACACCAAUGGCGAAGGCGGUGCUCUGGGCCGGAACUGACGCUGAGGAGCGAAAGCGUGGGGAGCAAACAGG
This 253-nucleotide ribosomal RNA is filed under the name uncultured bacterium. RNAcentral describes it as "partial 16S ribosomal RNA". It matches the Rfam family "Bacterial small subunit ribosomal RNA", at positions 524 to 776 of the family's 1533-position model. The record is from RNAcentral.